This 1561-nucleotide long non-coding RNA is filed under the name Ovis aries (sheep). Its description in RNAcentral is "lncRNA (ENSOARG00000025586.1)". Lineage: Eukaryota; Metazoa; Chordata; Mammalia; Artiodactyla; Bovidae. The record is from RNAcentral.
CUGUGGGUCUUUUGACUUUGGUUUCUACCUAUAAAUGAUAAGAAGGGAAGCCCAUGCUGGUUCAGAGGUAAAGACUCCACCUGCCAAAGCAGGAGGCAAGACGUAGGUUUGAUCUCUGGGUUGGAAAGAUCCCCUGGAGGAAGAUCCCCUGGAGAAAGAUCCCCUGGAGGAAGAAAUGGCAAUCCACUUCGUACUUUGCCUGGAAAAUUCCACAGACAGAAGAGCCUGGCAGGCUACAGUCCAAAGAGUUGGACACAACUUAGUGACUGAACAGCAGCAAAAAUAAAUAAUGAAAACACACUGCACAUACCAUUGAAGAGGGAAAUCAUCCUGAGCAAAGGGAUUGCAAUGCUGCCAAUCCUCUGCUAGUGGUCUCACCGCCAACGCUUGGCAACAUGGCUUCUGAAAAUCAGCACCAGAGGACUGGGAUAAACACCCUCAGCUACUACUCCCUGGUUUCAAAGCCCACUGAGUCAAGCCACUAUGCAGUAGUCAUAUAUGGAUGUGAGAGUUGGACUGUGAAGAAGGCUGAGCGCCGAAGAAUUGACGCUUUUGAACUGUGGUGUUGGAGAAGACUCUUGAGAGUCCCUUGGACUGCAAGGAGAUCCAACCAGCCCAUUCUGAAGGAGAUCAGCCCUGGGAUUUCUUUGGAGGGAAUGAUGCUAAAGCUGAAACUCCCGUACUUUGGCCACCUCAUGUGAAGAGUUGACUCGUUGGAAAAGACUUUGAUGCUGGGAGGGAUUGGGGGCAGGAGGAGAAGGGGACGACAGAGGAUGAGGUGGCUGGAUGGCGUCACUGACUCGAUGGACAUGAAUCUGAGUGAACUCCAGGAGUUGGUGAUGGACAGGGAGGCCUGGCGUGCUGCGGUUCAUGGGGUCGCAAAGAGUUGGACACGACUGAGCGACUGAACUGAACUGAACUGAUGCUGAAAUAUUCAGUUUCAUAGUUCAUUUACACGGGAUUUUCUAUGCAUAUACUCACAUUGUUACAAAUGACUUUGCAAAGUUUGCCUCUUUCUUUCCAGUUGUUAGCCUCUAUUUCAUUUCUUUGACAAGCAGUGAGAAGGAUCCUUAUCCUUUUCAUAUCAAAUUAAAAAGAACAUUUCUAACACAACACUUCUCCACUUACAUUCACAUGACAUUUGCUUCAGAUGAUAGGAAUAAUAAGGACGUUUCCAAUCAUUUUUAGUUUUCUAAGACUAUAUCACGGAUAGGUAUUGAUUCAUCACAGAUGCUUCUUCUAUAUCACUUCAGAUAAUAUAUAGCGUAUACUAAUUUAUGUUAUAAAUAUAAACUAUAUAUAUUUAAUUUUUACACAAUAUAUAUUUUACACAUUCCCUUUAAUCUGUUAAUAUCAUAUAUAAGUAUGUGCUGAAAUAGAGUUAUCUGUAUGUUCUUGGAGAAACCCUAACAUAUACUGCUGGAUGGAUUUUUGGCUAGUACUUUAUUUAGUAUGUUAAUAUUCAUGCUCAUUAAUGAAAUUGGUCUGUAUACUUUUUGCACUGUAAAAUAUCACAGUUUGGGCAUUGUAUUAGUUUCCUAUUGCUGCUAUAACAAACAAC